Molecule: transfer RNA, 73 nt
Filed under: Hydrogenimonas thermophila
Lineage: Bacteria; Pseudomonadati; Campylobacterota; Epsilonproteobacteria; Campylobacterales; Hydrogenimonadaceae
Also listed under: 1 other name
Rfam family: tRNA
About the family: Transfer RNA (tRNA) molecules are approximately 80 nucleotides in length.
Source: Rfam by way of RNAcentral
GACCCCUUCAUCUAGUGGCCAAGGAUGCCAUCUUUUCAAGGUGGACACAGAGGUUCAAAUCCUCUAGGGGUCG